Non-coding RNA from Linepithema humile (Argentine ant), 1189 nucleotides. Lineage: Eukaryota; Metazoa; Arthropoda; Insecta; Hymenoptera; Formicidae. The record is from RefSeq and is a predicted model, not a curated record.
AUUCCUGUAUUACCAUUCCAGUUGCAUAAGACGGUAUUUAAUUAUACACAUAUAUAUGUGUGUGUGUGUGUGUGACGUUGUCACUCAAAGCUAUUAGAGAGAAGAUAAACAUCGCUGCGAUUUGUAUUGACUCUUCUCUUUUUCCAGGCGAUUACGCUUCGCAGACGUUGCUAAGCACGAAGCGAGUUUAAACGUGAAUUCCUCGAGGAUUUAUUGCGACAAGUCCGAUACUUUAAUAAUACGCGUCGCAACGGGUUUCUUUAUGAUUCUAUCGCUUACAUCCGCACGGCAGUUAGAUGGAGCAAACGCGUGGAUUGCGUUCGCACAUUUACACGCGCGCGUGCGAUACCUCCGCGCAUACGGAUGCGAUUGUGCAGGGAGGCAACGCGAGGCCGGUAGUGAAAGGGACUUGUAACAGCCGUAACUUUUCUGGGACCCGCUAUGUUUUCCACGCAAUAUCAACUCAACUGACGAUCGCAGGUUUCUGUUAAUCAUAGAGGCGUUGACGAACGGUAUAUGCAGACUGGCUUGGGUACGUUAUAACGGUCUAUUCUACAUUUCGCUGGCCGUCGCGACUUGUCGGCGGCCCACGAGCGAUGUUAAUACGCGAUUACAAUCGCAGAAGAAGAACCUUCGUACAUCGUGAUGCUGCACGAUGUACUUCAAAGCGUGCGUAAAAGCGUUCCGCGUGUCUUAAUAACGCGUUCGCCGAAACGGAUUCCCGAUAACGAGCGCUUAGAAAUCACGAUGCGGAAACGCUAAAAGUUACACACAUGUCCGGAUAAUGGUGAGCUAUCUGGAGAAAGUAUCAAUGCAUUUAGCGCGAGCUGCUUAUAUUAUCGUCCUCAAUUAAAGUUUCAGGUAAAACACAGUUUUUCGUUGACCUAAAAAAAAAUUUUUUUUUUUGUGUAAGAAACGAAAUAUUUUACUGUAACGCUUACUCUUCAUUUUUACAGUUUCACAAAAGAAGCAAAUGUCCACGUUUCGCGCACGAAGACGUAAUAUUAAAAAAAAAAUUGUACACGAAAGUAUGUUUAAUACCUGCUAUAACGGUUCAGCCAACGUGAACAUCUUUAACGAUAUGUCCAUCCAUCAAUGAAACGGUUAUUCUCGCAAUAGCGAGACCGCGCUAAUUACCUGACACCACUUGCAUCCAAGCGCACAUGUAGAAAACGGUGGUGCUCUGGCA